CCCAAUCGCAAAGGGAUGUUCCUAGCGAAUCCGGUGGCCGCAUAUAUUGCGAGCCAGAUAGGGCAGAACGCGCCAGUCCGUGCAGACCACGGCAUGCCGCAUUGCGUUGCUCCAGGCGCCUGACGCCGCCGAAGAGCCCGCCGCCCGAAGGCGCCCGCGUGCGCAUAAAAAAGGCCUUCAUCUGUAGAUGAAGGCCUUUUCCU
Small RNA from Burkholderia glumae, 203 nucleotides. It matches the Rfam family "Burkholderia sRNA 11". From Rfam's summary of the family: Identified by RNA-seq, RACE and Northern blot. Strongly expressed in biofilm. Identified in as ncRNA13. The record is from Rfam. Lineage: Bacteria; Pseudomonadati; Pseudomonadota; Betaproteobacteria; Burkholderiales; Burkholderiaceae.